CCAGACUCCUACGGGAGGCAGCAGUGGGGAAUAUUGCACAAUGGGGGAAACCCUGAUGCAGCGACGCCGCGUGAGCGAUGAGGUAUUUCGGUAUGUAAAGCUCUAUCAGCAGGGAAGAAAAUGACGGUACCUGACUAAGAAGCCCCGGCUAACUACGUGCCGGCAGCCGCGGUAAUACGUAGGGGGCAAGCGUUAUCCGGAUUUACUGGGUGUAAAGGGAGCGUAGACGGUCCUGCAAGCCAGAUGUGAAAGCCCGGGGCUCAACCCCGGGACUGCUUUGGAAACUGCCCGGCUAGAGUGCUGGAGAGGUAAGCGGAAUUCCUAGUGUAGCGGUGAAAUGCGUAGAUAUUAGGAGGAACACCAGUGGCGAAGGCGGCUUACUGGACAGUAACUGACGUUGAGGCUCGAAAGCGUGGGGAGCAAACAGGAUUAGAUACCCCUGUAUG
This 446-nucleotide ribosomal RNA is filed under the name uncultured bacterium. RNAcentral describes it as "bacterial SSU rRNA". It matches the Rfam family "Bacterial small subunit ribosomal RNA", at positions 331 to 793 of the family's 1533-position model. The record is from RNAcentral.